GCAUGGUGCUGCUACUAGCUCUGAAUUAGGUGUAUAUGCAUAUGCUGCUGCUCAGGUCAAGAAAGCCAUGGAGGUUACACAUCAUCUUGGGGGAGAGAAUUAUGUCUUUUGGGGUGGUCGAGAAGGUUACCAGAGCCUCCUGAACACAGAUAUGGAAAGAGAACUUAACCAUAUGGCAAGGUUCAUGGAAGCUGCUGUCGCUUACAAAAAGAAGAUUGGCUUCAAUGGAACAUUACUAAUUGAACCAAAGCCUCAGGAGCCAACAAAACACCAGUAUGACUGGGAUGCUGCCACUUCUGCUAAUUUCUUACGCAAAUAUGGGCUUAUAGGAGAGUUCAAAUUGAACAUCGAGUGCAACCAUGCCACGUUGGCUGGUCACAGCUGCCAUCAUGAGCUUGAAACAGCAAGAAUUAAUGGUUUGCUGGGCAACAUUGACGCAAAUUCUGGCGAUCCCCAGAUUGGUUGGGACACAGAUCAAUUUUUGAUGGAUGUCGCUGAGGCAACAUUGGUGAUGCAAACCGUUAUUAAAAAUGGAGGAUUGGCACCAGGA
This 550-nucleotide unclassified non-coding RNA is filed under the name Hevea brasiliensis (rubber tree). The record is from RNAcentral. Lineage: Eukaryota; Viridiplantae; Streptophyta; Magnoliopsida; Malpighiales; Euphorbiaceae.